RNAcentral lists this ribosomal RNA (406 nucleotides) under uncultured bacterium. RNAcentral describes it as "bacterial SSU rRNA". It matches the Rfam family "Bacterial small subunit ribosomal RNA", at positions 354 to 777 of the family's 1533-position model. The record is from RNAcentral.
GUGGGGAAUAUUGGUCAAUGGGGGAAACCCUGAACCAGCAACGCCGCGUGAAGGAAGAAGGCUUUCGGGUUGUAAACUUCUUUUAUCUGUGACGAUAGUGACGGUAGCAGAUGAAUAAGCCACGGCUAACUACGUGCCAGCAGCCGCGGUAAUACGUAGGUGGCGAGCGUUAUCCGGAUUUACUGGGUGUAAAGGGCGCGUAGGCGGGAAAGCAAGUCAGAUGUGAAAACUAUGGGCUUAACCCAUAGCCUGCAUUUGAAACUGUUUUUCUUGAGUGCUGGAGAGGCAAUCGGAAUUCCAUGUGUAGCGGUGAAAUGCGUAGAUAUAUGGAAGAACACCAGUGGCGAAGGCGGAUUGCUGGACAGUAACUGACGCUGAGGCGCGAGAGCGUGGGGAGCAAACAGGA